CCUACGGGUGGCAGCAGUGAGGAAUAGUGGUCAAUGGGCGCUAGCCUGAACCAGCCGAGUAGCGUGAAGGAUGAAUGCCCUAUGGGUUGGAAACUGCUAUGAUAGGGGAAUAAAGUGCAGUAAGUAUACUGCUUUGCAUGUACCUUAUGAAUAAGGAUCGGCUAACUCCGUGCCAGCAGCCGCGGUAAUACGGAGGAUCCGAGCGUUAUCCGGAGUUAUUGGGUUGAAAGGGAGCGUAGGCGGGUUGUUAAGUCAGUUGUGAAAGUUUGCGGCUCAACCGUAAAAUUGCAGUUGAUACUGGCAUCCUUGCGUACAGUAGCGGUAGUCGGCAUUCGUGGUGUAGCGGUGCUAUGCUUCGAUAUCACG
Molecule: ribosomal RNA, 366 nt
Filed under: uncultured bacterium
Lineage: Bacteria
Description: partial 16S ribosomal RNA
Rfam family: Bacterial small subunit ribosomal RNA
Source: RNAcentral